RNAcentral lists this long non-coding RNA (245 nucleotides) under Brachypodium distachyon (stiff brome). Its description in RNAcentral is "long non-coding RNA (BDIS_LNC001536)". Lineage: Eukaryota; Viridiplantae; Streptophyta; Magnoliopsida; Poales; Poaceae. The record is from RNAcentral.
UCCAAUUAUCCAGAGUGUUUCAGAAUAUUCUCAAGUAUGCAUUGCUAUUUCUCAACAUUUGCAUAGUCUCGAUAUGUUUUAUGUCUUAAUUUGUGAAUUUUAAAUCAUGUAAAUAUCGCCAUGAGUUCCCUAUUGGAAAGAUUGGUAGAAACAAUUCGUGUAAAAAAAAAAUGAUGAACAGUACAUUCAGUAAUAUAAUUAUUGAAAUAUAAUAAAUUCAUUAGAUGGCAAGGACCAAGUCAAAG